UCUAUUAAAUGAUGAUUUCAUAGUUCAUCUGAGUACAAUUGAUGUACAUCAUUUAUUGUCUUUCGCUCCUAUCUGAUUAUUUUU
Molecule: small nucleolar RNA, 84 nt
Organism: Zerene cesonia (dogface butterfly)
Lineage: Eukaryota; Metazoa; Arthropoda; Insecta; Lepidoptera; Pieridae
Product: small nucleolar RNA snR60/Z15/Z230/Z193/J17
Exons: 1
Source: RefSeq, a predicted model, not a curated record